AAGUCGUAACAAGGUUUCCGUAGGUGAACCUGCGGAAGGAUCAUUAACACGUUAUCCACGUAUCAACCAACGAGAACAGUUUUCACCUCUCCCCUCCGUAGAAUGGAUUGAGAGCUUGCUUAGAGUCGUUGAAUGGGAUGCUUAGCGUCAGACUCUACUCGCUUCUGACUUGGCGUAGAAAUACGCUGGGUUGGCAAUUGUAUCUGCAAGGAGGAUCCCGCUCACUGAUCAGUUUCCACUUCAUAACUUUUUCAGUGUGCACCUAUUUUACCACUUUCACCCCCUUUUUGCUAGUUGACUUUUAUAUGUUGUACUCGAGCUUCGGCGAAGGUGCACACGUUUAAUUAUUUGAACGUUAAAAAUACAACUCUUAGCAAUGGAUAUCUAGGUUCUC
This 394-nucleotide unclassified non-coding RNA is filed under the name fungal sp. RNAcentral describes it as "partial internal transcribed spacer region". The stretch from base 1 to 46 matches the Rfam family "Eukaryotic small subunit ribosomal RNA", at positions 1786 to 1831 of the family's 1831-position model. Lineage: Eukaryota; Fungi. The record is from RNAcentral.